RNAcentral lists this microRNA precursor (102 nucleotides) under Bigelowiella natans CCMP2755. Its description in RNAcentral is "miRNA EPrBNAG00000013311". Lineage: Eukaryota; Cercozoa; Chlorarachniophyceae. The record is from RNAcentral.
ACACGAUGAUAAUGAUGAUGGUGGUGAUGACAGUUAUAGUGAGGUGCUGAUGCUGCUGACGAUGAUGCAUCAUCAUCAUCAUCAUCAUCAUCAUCAUAUACA